AAGUGUUACAGCUCUUUUAGAAUUUGUCCAGCAGGUUUUCCAGUUUUAACCGCAAAAAGAAA
RNAcentral lists this small nuclear RNA (62 nucleotides) under Chlorocebus sabaeus (green monkey). RNAcentral's name for it is "U7 small nuclear RNA (ENSCSAG00000020350.1)". It matches the Rfam family "U7 small nuclear RNA". Rfam says of the family: Animal histone pre-mRNAs are spliced by a different mechanism than nuclear pre-mRNAs and self-splicing introns. This processing involves the U7 snRNP, which contains only one RNA species: U7. Lineage: Eukaryota; Metazoa; Chordata; Mammalia; Primates; Cercopithecidae. The record is from RNAcentral.